AAGGAAGAGAAGUUGACCUCCCUGGGAUGUCGUCACUUCAUUAUUGGCUGCACCUGCGCAAUCAUGUGAUGCGAUACAUUUUUCAAAGACGUUUUUCAAGACACAGGAGAGGUCGGGUUGAAACAUUACUGAUGUUUCACGUUAAAAAUGGCUCUAAAGAUUGAUGCUAAACAACGUUUGACAUGUUUGAACAAUGUAAAUAGAUAAUUUUUUUUACUUUUCGCCGUGACUCCCCCCCCCCCGUGCUACUUUUUAGUAGCCUACCGAAGCGCUAACAACUUGGAGUUAUUGGGACAUCAAUUAUGAACUUUGUUGAAAGAAACCACAUUUGCAGUGGACCUGGGAUGCCUGGAAUUGCCAAUGGAUGAAGAGAAUCAAAGUCCACUCUAUCCCUCUCUCUUUCCCUCUAUAGUCCACUCCCCCCUCUCUCUCUCCAUCUCUCUUUCCCUCUAUAGUCCUCUCUCUCUCUCUCUCUCUCUCUCUCUCUCUCUCUCGCUCUCUCUCUUUCCAUCUAUAGUCCCCUCCCCC
Molecule: long non-coding RNA, 528 nt
Filed under: Salmo salar (Atlantic salmon)
Lineage: Eukaryota; Metazoa; Chordata; Actinopteri; Salmoniformes; Salmonidae
Description: lncRNA (ENSSSAG00000087369.1, ENSSSAG00000115320.1)
Source: RNAcentral